RNAcentral lists this ribosomal RNA (501 nucleotides) under uncultured bacterium. RNAcentral's name for it is "bacterial SSU rRNA". It matches the Rfam family "Bacterial small subunit ribosomal RNA", at positions 24 to 518 of the family's 1533-position model. The record is from RNAcentral.
UCAGGAUGAACGCUAGCGGCAGGCUUAACACAUGCAAGUCAGGGGCAGCGGGAUGUAGCAAUACAUUGCCGGCGACCGGCGGAUGGGUGCGUAACGCGUAUGCAACCUACCUUAUACAGGGGAAUAACCUUUCGAAAGGGAGACUAACACCCCAUAGUAUUGAUUUAAGGCAUCUUAGAUUAAUUAAAUAUUUAUAGGUAUAAGAUGGGCAUGCGUAUGAUUAGCUAGUUGGUAAGGUAACGGCUUACCAAGGCGACGAUCAUUAGGGGUUCUGAGAGGAAGGUCCCCCACACUGGUACUGAGACACGGACCAGACUCCUACGGGAGGCAGCAGUGAGGAAUAUUGGUCAAUGGGCGCAAGCCUGAACCAGCCAUGCCGCGUGCAAGGAAGACGGCCUUAUGGGUUGUAAACUGCUUUUACAUAAGACUAACCGUAUAUUUGCGAAUAUACCUGAAUGUAUUAUGAGAAUAAGGAUCGGCUAACUCCGUGCCAGCCGCAGC